UUGACCUCAAAUCAGGCGGGACUACCCGCUGAACUUAAGCAUAUCAAUAA
RNAcentral lists this ribosomal RNA (50 nucleotides) under Gloeocystidiellum kenyense. Its description in RNAcentral is "partial 28S ribosomal RNA". The record is from RNAcentral. Lineage: Eukaryota; Fungi; Basidiomycota; Agaricomycetes; Russulales; Gloeocystidiellaceae.